This is a non-coding RNA of Podospora pseudopauciseta, 71 nucleotides long. NCBI's taxonomy places the organism in Eukaryota, Fungi, Ascomycota, Sordariomycetes, Sordariales, Podosporaceae. The record is from the annotation of a RefSeq genome assembly.
GAACUUCAAUAGGAAUCGAACCUAUACCUUUAACGUAAUAGUCGACGUACUACGUAUUAUACUAUAAGGUU